CCUACGGGUGGCAGCAGUGAGGAAUAUUGGUCAAUGGACGGAAGUCUGAACCAGCCAUGCCGCGUGCAUGAAGACGGCUCUAUGAGUUGUAAACUGCUUUUGUACAAGGGUAAACCUGAAUACGUGUAUUCAGCUGACCGUACUGUACGAAUAAGGAUCGGCUAACUCCGUGCCAGCAGCCGCGGUAAUACGGAGGAUCCAGGCGUUAUCCGGAUUUAUUGGGUUUAAAGGGAGCGUAGGCGGAUUGAUAAGUUAGAGGUGAAAUGUCCGGGCUCAACUCUGGAACUGCCUUUAUGACUGUGUAUCUAGAGAGUAGAUGCGGUAGGCGGAAUGUAUGGUGUAGCGGUGAAAUGCGUAGAGAUCAUACAGAACACCGAUUGCGAAGGCAGCUUACCAAUCUAUAUCUGACGUUGAGGCACGAAAGCGUGGGGAGCAAACAGGAUUAGAUACCCCUGUAGUC
RNAcentral lists this ribosomal RNA (460 nucleotides) under uncultured bacterium. Its description in RNAcentral is "partial 16S ribosomal RNA". It matches the Rfam family "Bacterial small subunit ribosomal RNA", at positions 338 to 795 of the family's 1533-position model. The record is from RNAcentral.